This 1190-nucleotide ribosomal RNA is filed under the name uncultured bacterium. RNAcentral describes it as "bacterial SSU rRNA". It matches the Rfam family "Bacterial small subunit ribosomal RNA", at positions 35 to 1253 of the family's 1533-position model. The record is from RNAcentral.
GGUCAGUGCAAUGCUUACACAUGCAAGUCGAUCCAAGUUACCUUCGGGUAAUGAGGGUGGCGGACGGGUGAGUAACGCGUAAGGAACUUGCCUCUUGGACUGGGACAACUGUUGGAAACGACAGCUAAUACCGGAUAUUAUGAGAUUCUCGCAUGAGAAACUUAUGAAAGCUAUAUGCGCCAAGAGAGAGCCUUGCGUUCCAUUAGCUAGUUGGUGGGGUAACGGCCCACCAAGGCGACGAUGGAUAGCCGGCCUGAGAGGGUGAACGGCCACAAGGGGACUGAGACACGGCCCUUACUCCUACGGGAGGCAGCAGUGGGGAAUAUUGGACAAUGGGCCCCAAGCCUGAUCCAGCAAUUCUGUGUGCACGAUGAAGGUCUUCGGAUUGUAAAGUGCUUUCAGUUGGGAAGAAGAAAGUGACGGUACCAACAGAAGAAGCGACGGCUAAAUACGUGCCAGCAGCCGCGGUAAUACGUAUGUCGCAAGCGUUAUCCGGAUUUAUUGGGCGUAAAGCGCGUCUAGGCGGAAAAUAAGUCUGAUGUUAAAAUGCGGGGCUCAACUCCGUAUUGCGUUGGAAACUGUUUUUCUAGAGUACUGGAGAGGUGGGCGGAACUACAAGUGUAGAGGUGAAAUUCGUAGAUAUUUGUAGGAAUGCCGAUGGAGAAGUCAGCUCACUGGACAGAUACUGACGCUGAAGCGCGAAAGCGUGGGGAGCAAACAGGAUUAGAUACCCUGGUAGUCCACGCCGUAAACGAUGAUCACUAGGUGGUUGGGGGUCGAACCUCAGCGCCCAAGCUAACGCGAUAAAUGAUCCGCCUGGGGAGUACGCACGCAAGUGUGAAACUCAAAGGAAUUGACGGGGACCCGCACAAGCGGUGGAGCAUGUGGUUUAAUUCGACGCAACGCGAGAAACCUUACCAGCGUUUGACAUCCUAAGAAGUUCCAGAGAUGGAUUCGUGCCGGCUUGCCGGACUUAGUGACAGGUGGUGCAUGGCUGUCGUCAGCUCGUGUCGUGAAAUGUUGGGGUUAGUCCCGCGACGAGCGCACCCCCUAUUGGAUGUUGCUACCAUUAGGUGGACCCUCAUGCAAACUGCUUCGAUAACAGGAGGAAGUGUGGUGAUAAGGUAAGGUCUUUUGGCCUUAUAGGUGGGUGAAAGGGUGCGUUAAGUGGCGUGAUCAGUGUUUGCGUU